This is a regulatory RNA element of Rhodospirillum rubrum ATCC 11170, 49 nucleotides long. It matches the Rfam family "Guanidine-II riboswitch aptamer (mini-ykkC)". From Rfam's summary of the family: Simpler in structure and has fewer highly conserved nucleotide positions than the ykkC-yxkD leader. Despite this each of its two stem-loop structures directly bind free guanidine. NCBI's taxonomy places the organism in Bacteria, Pseudomonadati, Pseudomonadota, Alphaproteobacteria, Rhodospirillales, Rhodospirillaceae. The record is from Rfam.
AGGCGGGGACGACCCCGCUGGAGGUGUUUUUCAGGCGGGGACGACCCCG